This 1472-nucleotide ribosomal RNA is filed under the name Halosimplex pelagicum. RNAcentral's name for it is "16S ribosomal RNA". It matches the Rfam family "Archaeal small subunit ribosomal RNA". Lineage: Archaea; Methanobacteriati; Methanobacteriota; Halobacteria; Halobacteriales; Haloarculaceae. The record is from RNAcentral.
AUUCCGGUUGAUCCUGCCGGAGGCCAUUGCUAUCGGAGUCCGAUUUAGCCAUGCUAGUCGCGCGGGUUCAGGCCCGCGGCAGAUAGCUCAGUAACACGUGGCCAAACUACCCUAUGGACGGAGAUAACCUCGGGAAACUGAGGCUAAUAUCCGAUACAGCUCGCAUGCUUGAGUGCAGCGAGCUGGAAACGUUCCGGCGCCAUAGGAUGUGGCUGCGGCCGAUUAGGUAGACGGUGGGGUAACGGCCCACCGUGCCGAUAAUCGGUACAGGUUGUGAGAGCAAGAGCCUGGAGACGGAAUCUGAGACAAGAUUCCGGGCCCUACGGGGCGCAGCAGGCGCGAAACCUUUACACUGCACGACAGUGCGAUAGGGGAACUCCGAGUGCGAGGGCAUAGAGCCCUCGCUUUUCCACACCGUAAGGUGGUGCGGGAACAAGUGCUGGGCAAGACCGGUGCCAGCCGCCGCGGUAAUACCGGCAGCACAAGUGAUGGCCGAUUUUAUUGGGCCUAAAGCGUCCGUAGCUGGCCGUGCAAGUCCGUCGGGAAAUCCAGUGGCUCAACCUCUGGGCUUCCGGCGGAAACUGCUCGGCUUGGGACCGGAAGACUCGAGGGGUACGUUCGGGGUAGGAGUGAAAUCCCGUAAUCCUGAACGGACCACCGAUGGCGAAAGCACCUCGAGAGCACGGAUCCGACAGUGAGGGACGAAAGCUAGGGUCUCGAACCGGAUUAGAUACCCGGGUAGUCCUAGCUGUUAACGAUGCCCGCUCGGUUCGGCGCAGGCUACGAGCCUGUGCCGCGCCUCAGUGAAGACGUAAGCGGGCCGCCUGGGAAGUACGUCCGCAAGGAUGAAACUUAAAGGAAUUGGCGGGGGAGCACUACAACCGGAGGAGCCUGCGGUUUAAUUGGACUCAACGCCGGACAUCUCACCAGCACCGACAACGGUAAUGAUGGUCAGGUUGAUGACCUUACCCGACGCCGUUGAGAGGAGGUGCAUGGCCGCCGUCAGCUCGUACCGUGAGGCAUCCUGUUAAGUCAGGCAACGAGCGAGACCCGCAUCCUUAAUUGCCAGCAGCACCCUUGUGGUGGCUGGGUACAUUAGGGAGACCGCCACGGCUAACGUGGAGGAAGGAACGGGCAACGGUAGGUCAGCAUGCCCCGAAUGUGCUGGGCAACACGCGGGCUACAAUGGCCGGGACAGUGGGAGGCUAAUCCGAGAGGAUACGCUAAUCCCCUAAACCCGGUCGUAGUUCGGAUUGAGGGCUGAAACUCGCCCUCAUGAAGCUGGAUUCGGUAGUAAUCGCGUGUCAGAAGCGCGCGGUGAAUACGUCCCUGCUCCUUGCACACACCGCCCGUCAAAUCACCCGAGUGGGGUCCGGAUGAGGCCAUCAUGCGAUGGUCGAAUCUGGGCUCCGCAAGGGGGAUUAAGUCGUAACAAGGUAGCCGUAGGGGAAUCUGCGGCUGGAUCACCUCCU